AACGAACGCUGGCGGCAUGCCUAACACAUGCAAGUCGAACGAGACCUUCGGGUCUAGUGGCGCACGGGUGCGUAACGCGUGGGAACCUGCCCUUAGGUUCGGAAUAACUCCCCGAAAGGGGUGCUAAUACCGGAUAAUGUCUUCGGACCAAAGAUUUAUCGCCUUUGGAUGGGCCCGCGUUGGAUUAGCUAGUUGGUAGGGUAAAAGCCUACCAAGGCGACGAUCCAUAGUUGGUCUGAGAGGAUGAUCAGCCACACUGGGACUGAGACACGGCCCAGACUCCUACGGGAGGUAGCAGUGGGGAAUAUUGGACAAUGGGCGAAAGCCUGAUCCAGCAAUGCCGCGUGAGUGAUGAAGGCCUUAGGGUUGUAAAGCUCUUUUACCCGGGAUGAUAAUGACAGUACCGGGAGAAUAAGCUCCGGCUAACUCCGUG
This 433-nucleotide ribosomal RNA is filed under the name uncultured bacterium. RNAcentral describes it as "partial 16S ribosomal RNA". It matches the Rfam family "Bacterial small subunit ribosomal RNA", at positions 29 to 507 of the family's 1533-position model. The record is from RNAcentral.